This 482-nucleotide ribosomal RNA is filed under the name uncultured bacterium. Its description in RNAcentral is "partial 16S ribosomal RNA". It matches the Rfam family "Bacterial small subunit ribosomal RNA", at positions 30 to 507 of the family's 1533-position model. The record is from RNAcentral.
AUUGAACGCUGGCGGCAUGCUUUACACAUGCAAGUCGAACGGUAACAGGCCGCAAGGUGCUGACGAGUGGCGAACGGGUGAGUAAUGCAUCGGAACGUGCCCAGUCGUGGGGGAUAACUACUCGAAAGAGUAGCUAAUACCGCAUACGAUCUAUGGAUGAAAGCGGGGGACCGUAAGGCCUCGCGCGAUUGGAGCGGCCGAUGUCAGAUUAGGUAGGUGGUGGGGUAAAGGUUCACCAAGCCAACGAUCUGUAGCUGGCCUGAGAGGACGACCAGCCACACUGGGACUGAGACACGGCCCAGACUCCUACGGGAGGAAGCGGUGGGGAAUUUUGGACAAUGGGCGCAAGCCUGAUCCAGCAAUGCCGCGUGCAGGAAGAAGGCCUUCGGGUUGUAAACUGCUUUUGUACGGAACGAAACGGCUCUGGUUAAUACCCGGGGCUAAUGACGGUACCGUAAGAAUAAGCACCGGCUAACUACGUG